UGAUACAAAAAUAACAUAUGUUUUAGGUAAGGAAAAGUUCAAUGCUGUUCUAGCAAAUACUGAAAAUCAUGGGAGCAUAUUUGGAAUCAGGCCUGAAGCUGGAAGAUAGAAGAAUAUUGAGGAACAUGACAGAGACAUUUUAAAGAACCUUAAAUGGGCGAUUAGUAGAAACCUGGACUCAGGAUGCUGAAGUGAGUGCUCAGAAGAAAGUAUGGAACAUGUCAUCAGAACAAAAGGAAAAAUAUCCUUAUUGUAUGGUGGCAGAAAGCCUGGCAAAAUUAUGUCCUGGAGUUAUAUACAUACCAGAACCUUUAAGUGAUAAAAUUGCUUAUAUAUAUAAGGAAUUUCCAAAGUGUUGAAGUGACUCCUGAUUUCUUCUUGCUGACAAUAAUAAAAUAUAAGUGGAGUGUUAAACUGAGGAAAUGAUUCUCAAACAAAGAGAAACCAGACCUCUGUGAUGUUGGAAUUUCUCAUGAACUCCAAAAGGCAAACACAUUAGAAUCAAGAGUUUCAGUCAUGAUUGCAGUAUAUGAUUGUAUGAUCUUUUUGUAAAAAUAAGCAGGUACACAAAUUACUCUUUCAAAAAAUAAGAUUUGCCUCUCAAAUACCAAUCAAACUAGAAGUCCCUGAGGAAGCUUUAGGACACUCUCUCUUUCCAUCUUUUUUGAUGGCUGGUGUGGGUUGUAAUUAUUUAAGGAACAAUUUGAAAUCUUCUUUGGAUAGACUUUCUUUUUCAUAUGUUUUCUCUGAAGCCUCAGUUCCUCUAGCCUCUGUUCAGCUGAGCUAUUGGUACAAAAUUUAUUUUAAUUCUUGGAGAAAAGGAAAAAAAGUCUCAUCUGAUCUUUGCAUUGACUCAGUGUUGGGAUAUUCUCUUAAUGCCUAGUCAGACCCUUUACCAUUCCGACUCUUCACUUCCUGCAUUUCCUGAGCCUAAAUAUCAGUCAGAAGUGUCAUCUUGAGUCUUCUCAAGCAUUUACUUGGUAUAUACUCUGCUGUGGGAAUGCAUGUGGCUUUGUCAUUUCCUGUAUUAGGAAGCAUUCAAAGUUCUACUUCCCAUUAUAUUCUCUCUC
Molecule: long non-coding RNA, 1070 nt
Filed under: Marmota monax (woodchuck)
Lineage: Eukaryota; Metazoa; Chordata; Mammalia; Rodentia; Sciuridae
Source: RNAcentral